GGGUGAAGUCGUAACAAGGUAACCGUAGGGGAACCUGCGGUUGGAUCACCUCCUUACCUAAAA
Molecule: ribosomal RNA, 63 nt
Filed under: Pasteurella canis
Lineage: Bacteria; Pseudomonadati; Pseudomonadota; Gammaproteobacteria; Pasteurellales; Pasteurellaceae
Description: partial 16S ribosomal RNA
Rfam family: Bacterial small subunit ribosomal RNA (bases 1-56)
Source: RNAcentral